This 338-nucleotide unclassified non-coding RNA is filed under the name soil metagenome. Its description in RNAcentral is "partial contains 5.8S ribosomal RNA, internal transcribed spacer 2, and large subunit ribosomal RNA". The stretch from base 1 to 120 matches the Rfam family "5.8S ribosomal RNA", at positions 35 to 154 of the family's 154-position model. The record is from RNAcentral.
GAUGAAGAACGCAGCGAAAUGCGAUAAGUAGUGUGAAUUGCAGAAUUCAGUGAAUCAUCGAAUCUUUGAACGCACAUUGCGCCCUUUGGUAUUCCUUAGGGCAUGCCUGUUCGAGCGUCAUUUGAAACCUCAAGCUCAGCUUGGUGUUGGGUGUCUGUCCCCGCCUCACCGCGGGGACUCGCCUCAAAAUCAUUGGCGGCCGGUACGUUGGCUUCGAGCGCAGCAGAAACGCGAACUCGAGGCCCGGCGGAUCGGCGACCAGAAGUCACUUCUUCACAGUUUGACCUCGGAUCAGGUAGGGAUACCCGCUGAACUUAAGCAUAUCAAUAAGCGGAUGA